RNAcentral lists this transfer RNA (60 nucleotides) under Deroceras agreste. RNAcentral describes it as "tRNA-Tyr". The record is from RNAcentral. Lineage: Eukaryota; Metazoa; Mollusca; Gastropoda; Stylommatophora; Agriolimacidae.
AUUUUGAUGGCUGAUAAAGGCAGUAAAUUGUAAAUUUAUGUAUGGGUAUACCUCAGAUUU